GACGAACGCUGGCGGCGUGCUUAACACAUGCAAGUCGAACGGAAAGGCCCUGCUUUUGUGGGGUUCUCGAGUGGCGAACGGGUGAGUAACACGUGAGUAACCUGCCCUUGACUUUGGGAGAACUUCAGGAAACUGGGGCUAAGACCGGAUAGGAUCUCCUGCUGCAUGGUGGGCGGUGGAAAGUUUCGGCGGGUGGGGAUGGACGCGCGGGUUAUGAGCUUGUUGGUGGGGGAGUUGCAUCCCAAGGGUUUGGCGGGUAGCCGGCCUGGGAGGGUGACCGGCCACAUGGGGCCUGCGAUAGGCACCAGACUCGUACGGGAGGCAGCAGUGGCAAAUAUUGCCCAGUGGGCGCGCGUGUGAUGAGGAAGCGCCGCGUGCGUGAAGACCGCCUUUGGGUUGAAAACAGCUGUCGCCUGUGACGCCGCGUUAGUGACGGUACUGAGUAAAGAAGCACCGGCUAACUACGUG
This 468-nucleotide ribosomal RNA is filed under the name uncultured bacterium. RNAcentral's name for it is "partial 16S ribosomal RNA". It matches the Rfam family "Bacterial small subunit ribosomal RNA", at positions 28 to 507 of the family's 1533-position model. The record is from RNAcentral.